RNAcentral lists this ribosomal RNA (448 nucleotides) under uncultured soil bacterium. RNAcentral describes it as "bacterial SSU rRNA". It matches the Rfam family "Bacterial small subunit ribosomal RNA", at positions 26 to 518 of the family's 1533-position model. The record is from RNAcentral.
AGAGCGAACGCUGGCGGCAGGCCUAACACAUGCAAGUCGAACGGACCCUUCGGGGUUAGUGGCGGACGGGUGAGUAACACGUGGGAACGUGCCUUUAGGUUCGGAAUAGCUCCUGGAAACGGGUGGUAAUGCCGAAUGUGCCCUUCGGGGGGAAAGAUUUAUCGCCUUUAGAGCGGCCCGCGUCUGAUUAGCUAGUUGGUGAGGUAAAGGCUCACCAAGGCUACGAUCAGUAGCUGGUCUGAGAGGAUGACCAGCCACAUUGGGACUGAGACACGGCCCAAACUCCUACGGGAGGCAGCAGUGGGGAAUCUUGCGCAAUGGGCGAAAGCCUGACGCAGCCAUGCCGCGUGAAUGAUGAAAGGUCUUAAGGAUUGUAAAAUUCUUUCAGUAGGACGAUAAUGACGUACCUACAGAAGAAGCCCCGGACUAACUUCGUGCCAGCAGCCGC